GUUUUGCCUCAACAGAAAAAGUUCUGGAAAGUGAUGAAGACAGGAUAAUACAAGAGGGACACUGUUCAUCUACUGCGGCAAGAACUUGGAUGAAAUUGUGAUAGAUCCUGAUGGUGUGUUUGUUGAUUUAUUUUUUCUUUGUUUGCUUGUUCUGUGUUUACCAUAUAUUCCUUUCUGCUAAAUCACAUUGUUAAGUUGUGCUUUGUUUUGCCUCAACAGAAAAAGUUCUGGAAAGUGAUGAAGACAGGAUAAUACAAGAGGGACACUGUUCAUCUACUGUUUAUGAACCAAUAGCAGAGGAGGCACAUCCUCCUGCAGAGAGGAAUGACUUGCCACCACCACCCAAAAGACAAAAACCACCAUCACCACCUUCAGGACCCAGUGCUGUGAGGCCUUGUUUUCAAGGUCAAACAACCCAUAAGAAAAAUCCCUGGCAGCAGACAGAGGUGCAGGCUGUGGAAAGGCACAUGAUGCGAUUCAUCACAUCUUUUACUGUACCAGGAAAGAGUGACUGUGAGAAGUGUUUAAAGGCUGAACCAGGAGCUCUAAAGAACCGGGACUGGAAGAAUGUGAAAUUCUUCAUAUAUAACCGUAUUACAGCCUAUAAAAAGAGUUUGCAGUGCAAAUAAUAUGAAGAUUACCAACUCUCUGGUAUGGCAGUUUUCGUUUACAAUAGCCUUUUUUCUCUCUUCCAUUGAAUUUUGAGGUAGGUAUCCAAAGAGGUCAAAACUCCAGCAUAAAUAUAUACUGCCCUACAAAGGCAAAGUGCAGUAACUACGCAAACACUGAAACUGAGAAAAAUGCCUUUAAAGUUUUUACAUUAGCCAGUCAAACAUAUUGUGGGUAGAUUAGUGGCAAUGCAUUCAUUUACAGCCUUAGGAUGAAAUUUUUUAUAGAUAAAAACCAUGACCACUGAUGUGAGCUUUGACCACCAAAAUGCAGAUACUGCACUCUGCCUUUGGAUGACCUUAAACAACUACAACACUAUUGCAAAAGCAAAGUGCAGUACCUACAAACUAAAUCUGAUACAAAACUAGUUCAUCCAGCUUUCUUGUUGUGUUUCUUGCUACAUGUUGAUUGUUUUUAAUAACUUUAAUAGUUUUAUUGAUGUUUGCAUGUUGUGAAUGUUAAAAUUACUCGGUAGUAAGCCUCAAGAUCGUCUUAUCGCAAUGCCCCUUUCACCACAAAGAGUGUUUUGCUCUUUUUUUUUUAAUUUAAAGUAAUUAAUUACAGACCAAGUAGUUAAAACAGUAGUAAAAAUUCACACAAUUUAAACUUUUCCUAACAAUAUAACUAGGGAUGUCAUAAAGGAAAAUAAGGGUUAAUUGUGAUUCUUUAUAGGAAAAUAAGGGACAGAAUAAGGGAUGCUCAAAAUAUUUGUACUGUACCACAUCCUGUGCAUCAUUUCCAUGUCUGCAGUUAAGUAUAUAAAAGGUGUAUAAAAGGUUCUCAGAAAAAAUCUCAUUUGUUUGCUCAGCGAAUUUAUGUACAAUUAUUCUAAAAGGAAUUUUACACCCAAACCACUGGCCUGUGAAAUUGUGAAAGAAGUCAUCCCUCAGGUAGAUUGUAUGUUUUCUUGCCUAGCUGCGUAGGCGUGCCCAAUGGCAGGUAAGGGGACGCCCCUUAACCGAGCGUAUAUAGCCCCUGCACGCGCUACCUUUCCUCAGUGAGCAUAUUCGCUUCUCGUGCAGCAAGCGGGGCAAACUUGGUGGAUCUCUCCACUCGAUGUUUCAGAGAACCGGGGUUACGAACAGUAACCUAUUGUUCUCUUUCAUCAUCUCGUGUUCGAGAUCCACCUAUGGGAGAUAUGGACAACUCCCCAGUUGUCCAGUACACUCACAGUGAGGCCCUGUAAGCCAAAGAACGGUCACCUGGCAAGGCGGUGCUUGACACGUCACCAAAUAUCUGACCCCACACAAAGGGAGAAUGCAAUACCGGCCAUGUAAGAAAUGACAUGUGGUAACAUGCAUACUAGAUCUGACAACAACAUAAUGCCAAGGCAUAUAUUAUAGAAAUAUACAUAUGUAUAUAUUGACAUAUACAUACAUAUAAAAAUAUAAUAAUGUGUCAGGGGAGGGUACAGAUGACCUGCUUACUGAGAUGAAUGAGCCGGGCUGGACAACCCAGGCUUAAAAAGGUGUAAAGGGUCUAGGGGCACAAGGCUACAAAGAGCCCACACCUAAAACCGAGUAAGCUACCGGGGUGCAGGUAACAUCAAGCCGGUAGUAUUUGACAAAUGUGUGUAGAGAGGCCCAGCUUGCAGCGGCACAAAUGUCCUGCAAGGAAACCCCUUUAAACGGAGCUCGCAAGGCUACUAUGUCCCUAGUGAAUUACGCUCUGAGGCCCACAUGGCUGCACUCCAUUUGAUUCAUAUGCCAGAGAGAUGGCUUCCACGAGCCAAUGAGAGAGGCAUUACUUAGAAAUGGAUUUUCCCCAUGUUCAGGGGGCCCAUUAGUUGAAGAGCUGAUCACUCCUGAAAGGGCUGGUCCCCGCACAACGGGACCUAAAGCAUUUAGCCUCUGAUCCUCCGCAGAGGAGGGUGAAAAGCAGAAGCUCAAACACUUUACACGUGAAAGCUGGGAAGCACUCUGGCGUAAAGGCCGGGUUAGGCCUUAGUUACUGCAAGAAAAUUAGUGCACGAGGGAUGAACAGAGAGCCCAUGCAAAUCACUGACAUGUUUGGCGGAAGCCAAGGCCAGGAGCAGAGCUGUCUUAGUCAGCUGCUUACAGGAGAUAUCUCCCUAAUUCGUUUAAAAUAUAAAGAUACUACUACUAAUAAUAAUUUCCAAUCAGUAGCCCAUGUACAAUGAAGCUAAUAGUAGGGCACUCUUAAACUGGAAUUUAUUAUGUGUGUAUUCAGUUGUGCUUAAAGCAAUUAUGGUAUUUUCAUGGAGUGUAGCAGCAGUAUCAUAGAAUUCAGAUUGCGUUAUUAUCGAAUUGUUAAUAGCAGUAUGCAUAGCAAAUCAAAUUAUGCGUUUAGUUGUGGUAGCAGUAGGUAGACCGUAGUUUAUAUUUACAUUUAUUCAUUUUGCAGAUGCUUUUAUCCAAAGGGACUUACGAUUGCUGAAGUUUCAGUGACCAAAAAUUAAUGGUAUGUGAACUCAAGCAAAUAGGCAUCAUUUGUGUUCGUUUAUUUAAAAGGGGCUUAUAGCAAUUCUAAGUAUCUUUGUGCAGCUGUAGCAGCAGUAUGCAUAGUCAUUCAGAUCGCAGGUAGCGAAUUUAAUAGCAGCAGCGUGCAUAGCAAAUUCAUAUGCAAUGUUAGAAAUAAUAUUAGCAGCAGGAAGUCAAAUUAUUGUUGCUAAUAUAGCAGCGGCAGCAGAAAGUACUUCAGUUGCUUGAAGUUUCAGUGAUAACGCAUGGGGUAAGUAACUCUUUAAAGUGAAAUAGGCAUUUUAUAUUUA
Molecule: long non-coding RNA, 3400 nt
Organism: Sinocyclocheilus grahami
Lineage: Eukaryota; Metazoa; Chordata; Actinopteri; Cypriniformes; Cyprinidae
Source: Ensembl